UAGUUAACUGUUUUCUAAAACAAAAGGGUAAAUGAAAAUUCUUGUGGGUGAUGUAUCUCUUUAGAGCCAUCCUGAUCACAAUUUUUAAUAAUAGUAUCGCGAAACAAGGUACUGAGCACUUGCAGAUUCGUUACGUUGUUCAUUAUGGAUGGAAUUGGCUUCUCUUAGGCCAUGAUAGAUCUCCUCUUGAGCUUCAUUUAAGCUUGCCUAUUUACUUUUGUUGAAUGAUUUACAAUGUCAUAUCUUUUUGAUCUUGUAUACCAAUUGCUUAAGUAGCCUCCUGAAGCGUGGGAUGGAGGUGUCGGAUUCGUAUCAAAGGAGAUGAUUCAAGCCCACUGCCCUGCUCCUGCUUCUGAUAUUCAGAUUCUAAGGUGUGGACCACCACCAAUG
RNAcentral lists this unclassified non-coding RNA (390 nucleotides) under Hevea brasiliensis (rubber tree). Lineage: Eukaryota; Viridiplantae; Streptophyta; Magnoliopsida; Malpighiales; Euphorbiaceae. The record is from RNAcentral.